GACGAACGCUGGCGGCGUGCCUAAUACAUGCAAGUCGAGCGAAUUUACGAGAGCUUGCUCUCGUAAAUUAGCGGCGGACGGGUGAGUAACACGUGGGCAACCUGCCUAUAAGACUGGGAUAACUUCGGGAAACCGGAGCUAAUACCGGAUAAUUCACAUCUACUCAUGUAGAUGUGCUGAAAGACGGUUUACGCUGUCACUUAUAGAUGGGCCCGCGGCGCAUUAGCUAGUUGGUGAGGUAACGGCUCACCAAGGCCACGAUGCGUAGCCGACCUGAGAGGGUGAUCGGCCGCACUGGGACUGAGACACGGCCCAGACUCCUACGGGAGGCAGCAGUAGGGAAUCUUCCGCAAUGGACGAAAGUCUGACGGAGCAACGCCGCGUGAGUGAUGAAGGUUUUCGGAUCGUAAACUCUGUUGUUAGGAAGAACAAGUACCGGAGUAACUGCCGGCACCUUGACGGUACCUAACCAG
RNAcentral lists this ribosomal RNA (473 nucleotides) under uncultured bacterium. RNAcentral describes it as "bacterial SSU rRNA". It matches the Rfam family "Bacterial small subunit ribosomal RNA", at positions 28 to 486 of the family's 1533-position model. The record is from RNAcentral.